AUCUUCUGCAUUGUUUCAUGUGUUCUGUUUUUGAUCUCUGGCAUGCUGUCCUUUGCUGCAGGAAAAUGUCCAAACAUACAUGUGACCAAACUGUCUUUCUCCCUGAACAUCAUCAGCUUCUUCUGGUCAUUGGCGGCUUUUUCUGUCUUUGUGGUCAUUGUAAUUUUUUAUGGUGGUCUUCGUCCUCGCCCUAUAUAU
This is a long non-coding RNA of Fundulus heteroclitus (mummichog), 198 nucleotides long. RefSeq lists it as uncharacterized. The record is from RefSeq and is a predicted model, not a curated record. The transcript has 3 exons. NCBI's taxonomy places the organism in Eukaryota, Metazoa, Chordata, Actinopteri, Cyprinodontiformes, Fundulidae.